ACCUGCCUGGUUCAGUUGGAAGAGCAUGAGACUCUUGAUCUCUGGGGUCAUGAGUUUGAGCCUUAUGUUGGGUG
RNAcentral lists this transfer RNA (74 nucleotides) under Felis catus (domestic cat). It matches the Rfam family "tRNA". Rfam says of the family: Transfer RNA (tRNA) molecules are approximately 80 nucleotides in length. Their secondary structure includes four short double-helical elements and three loops (D, anti-codon, and T loops). Further hydrogen bonds mediate the characteristic L-shaped molecular structure. tRNAs have two regions of fundamental functional importance: the anti-codon, which is responsible for specific mRNA codon recognition, and the 3' end, to which the tRNAs corresponding amino acid is attached (by aminoacyl-tRNA synthetases). tRNAs cope with the degeneracy of the genetic code in two manners: having more than one tRNA (with a specific anti-codon) for a particular amino acid; and 'wobble' base-pairing, i.e. permitting non-standard base-pairing at the 3rd anti-codon position. Lineage: Eukaryota; Metazoa; Chordata; Mammalia; Carnivora; Felidae. The record is from Rfam by way of RNAcentral. RNAcentral also lists the same sequence under 2 other names.